This 408-nucleotide ribosomal RNA is filed under the name uncultured bacterium. RNAcentral describes it as "bacterial SSU rRNA". It matches the Rfam family "Bacterial small subunit ribosomal RNA", at positions 356 to 773 of the family's 1533-position model. The record is from RNAcentral.
GGGGAAUAUUGCACAAUGGGCGAAAGCCUGACGCAGCGACGCCGCGUGAGCGAAGAAGGCCUUCGGGUCGUAAAGCUCUGUCCUUGGGGAAGAAGGCGAAAGCUUGACGGUACCCAAGAAGAAAGCCCCGGCUAACUACGUGCCAGCAGCCGCGGUAAUACGUAGGGGGCGAGCGUUGUCCGGAAUUACUGGGCGUAAAGGGUGCGUAGGCGGCCUUUUAAGUCAGAUGUGAAAGGCUGCGGCUUAACCGCAGGACUGCAUUUGAAACUGGAAGGCUUGAGUGUCGGAGAGGGUAGUGGAAUUCCCAGUGUAGCGGUGAAAUGCGUAGAUAUUGGGAGGAACACCAGUGGCGAAGGCGACUACCUGGACGAUAACUGACGCUGAGGCACGAAAGCUAGGGGAGCAAAC